GACGAACGCUGGCGGCGCGCUUAACACAUGCAAGUCGAACGGAAAGGCCUGCUUUCCCUUGUGGAUUGCGGGUACUCGAGUGGCGAACGGGUGAGUAACACGUGCGUGAUCUGCCCCCAACUUGGGUAUAAGCCUGGGAAACUGGGUCUAAUUCCCGAUAGGACUGCAGGGUGGUGCCUGUGGUGGCAAACGAUUUUCUAGUGGUUGGGGAUGAGCUCGCGGCCUAUCAGCUUGUUGGUGGGGUAAUGGCCUACCAAGGCGGCGACGGGUAGCCGGCCUGAGAGGGUGGACGGCCACAUUGGGACUGAGAUACGGCCCAGACUCCUACGGGAGGCAGCAGUGGGGAAUAUUGCACAAUGGGCGGAAGCCUGAGGCAGCGACGCCGCGUGGGGGAUGACGGCCUUCGGGUUGUAAACUCCUUUCGACCGCGAGGAAGCCACCUGGUUGGAAGGGUGGUGACGGUAGUGGGAGAAGAAGCACCGGCUAACUACGUG
Molecule: ribosomal RNA, 494 nt
Filed under: uncultured bacterium
Lineage: Bacteria
Description: partial 16S ribosomal RNA
Rfam family: Bacterial small subunit ribosomal RNA
Source: RNAcentral